ACACAUCUAACCACUCUUCAGCUGAUAUCCACUUGCUGACAAAUGAAUCUCUCUGGCCCCUGGACUGUGCCCUGAAACACAGCUUAAAACAGCAGAAUGAACAGUAAUCCCAGAGAUCCUGAGAUGAGAAAAGGGUGUUUGACUUAUUCAAAGAAGACCAAGGAAGCCCAAAGACCAGAGAAGAGUGCAGGAAAGGGGCGGCGGUCUGAGAUGCAGUCAGAGCAGUGGCAAGCCCCCAGAGUCUGUGGCAAAGACUUCAGGUUUCAUCCUGAAGAGGAAGACAGGUCUUUGGAGAGUUUUGAUCAAGGAAGUGAGAUGAAAUAUCUUAGGCUUACAAAGAACUACUCUGACAUCUAAAUGGAAAAUGGACUGAUGAAGCAAAAGAAGCCACAAGGAAGCCAGUUCAGAGGCUAUUGAAAUGCUCCAGAGGAACAGCGGUUUAUUGAAAGGAAAGCAAAUGUCCAGAAGCAAAAACAAACAAACAAAAAACAAACAAACAAACAAAAACAGAAAAAACUUCCCCAAAAGUAAAGAAUCACAGCUUUAUUCAGUAGCUCCUCAAUUAAAAUAGUCAUCUUCUUAAUUGUGCCAUCUUCAGAAGCAGCCAUAUAUACUGUAGUUAAGAGGCACAUGGUGAGAAAUUUGGGGUCCAAUCAAGAUGAUAGGAUUCAUCUACAUGGCAGCCCUCAAAGAUUCUGGAAGAGAAAAAUGGUGAAAAGAUACUCAGAGAGUGAGAGCCUUCAGAUUUGGGCCGCUGUGGUUCGUCUUCUGCCUGGGAACUGGAUAAAAACAUCAGUGAAUACCCCAAAGAUUUUCAAAAAUGCUUGUUGAUAAAAUGAAGUCAGAAUGUGAGAUGAGCCCUUCCACCUGAGUGAUGUUGGUCUUGGCUGUGUGAUUUGCUUUGGCUGAUGAUAAGUUGAUGGAAGUGAUAGUAAGACAAUGCUGAGCCUCAUCCUCGGAAGUAUCUCUGCCUUCACCUGGCUUUGUGCACCACUGCCCUGGCUUUGAGAAGAACAUGAGCCCAGUAAAUUGUUAGUCCAGGAAGAAUGAGAGAGAAAGUCCUGAGGCAGAGAAGUGGAGAGAAGUUGCUGCUUGAGCUUGAGAAAGAAUGGUGGCAGAGUACAUGCAUGGAAGUGCUACCAUAGCUGCUCUGAAAUCAGAGGAAAGUGGAAUUAUAAGAAGACCCCAUCUGACAAGGCUCAUAAAGGAGAGCAACUCUUAUGGAAUACAUCCAAGAUAUAUACGUCUUUGAAGAAAGACAUCACUCAACUGUGAAAGAUCACCAUGACCCCUGCUUUAAUUUCAUCAAAAAACUUAGUCCAUCAGCUCAGUUACCCUUUAGCCUUGCAUGGGAAUUGACUCAGAGCUUCUGCAAGAUCAGGCCCUAUAUUAGGUAUUGAGGGUUCAGGGAUGAACUAAGCUGAUCUGGUUCCUGCUCUCUAGGCUGUAGAAGAUGGCAAGUGCUGUGGACUUCAAAGAAAAGAUUUCUGAAGUGUCAUGUUAUGACAAUUGUGAUGCUUCAAACUAUGUUGACUAUUCAUUUACAGCAUAAAGAAGAGUGAGCCACUUUAUCACUGCAGUAAUUAUAUUUUAAAAAUAAAGAAAAUAAAACAAAUGGAGUUUCCCACCCAAUCCAUGGAGACACAGACACGAAGUCUUACUAUAGAUGUGUGGCCAAUCCUUACAUUGCUUUUAUUACAAGCCUGGAAAUGACAAUAAAAUACAUGAACUUGAGAGUAUAUA
RNAcentral lists this long non-coding RNA (1743 nucleotides) under Homo sapiens (human). RNAcentral's name for it is "HSALNT0393724". Lineage: Eukaryota; Metazoa; Chordata; Mammalia; Primates; Hominidae. The record is from RNAcentral.